Cataglyphis hispanica is the source of this 16736-nucleotide RNA transcript. It is a transcript of the gene named ELKS/Rab6-interacting/CAST family member 1, with no coding region annotated. NCBI's taxonomy places the organism in Eukaryota, Metazoa, Arthropoda, Insecta, Hymenoptera, Formicidae. The record is from RefSeq and is a predicted model, not a curated record. The transcript is spliced from 23 exons.
AAAAAAAAAUGAGCGGGUGAUAUGCCUCGGCGUGAUAGCUGUUGCGGUGACGUCCAUGACGUCGAUCGGUGGUGCUGCCAGCGCUUUUACCUUGAUCCCCUGAUGUAUGUAUGUGUGUGUAUACAUACACACAUAUGCGUACGUAUGUAUGUCUAGUACGAUGAUGAUAGUGACGUUAUACGUAGAACAUAGCGGGGUAGGGACAUGGCUCACGGUGACGUUUCUACGAAGGUGGCGCCGGCAGUCAUGCUGAUGGUGGGGUAGUUGUAAUGAUGGUGGCGGUGGUUGGCGAUGGUGAUGAUGCUGAUGGUGGUGGUAGGUAAAGGGUGGCCUCUCUUGUACAAUCGCCGGCUGGUAUUAGAGUACUCUCUCAGUGCGCGCGUAUCUGUCGCGCGUCGUGCCGAAGCUCCUCCUCGUCUCUUCCGUGACUUUGGUGGUAGCCGGUGACAUAUAUACAUAUACAAACGCGUCGGCCAACGGGGGAGUAAUCGUGGGCUCGCGCAAUCGCGAGCGUAUAUGUGUGUGUAUACAUGUGGGGUGGCUGGCCCGUGUUCGACUGCGCGAACGAUAGAGGGAUUGAGAGAGAGAGAGGGAAAAAGACAUAGAGAGGGUGAGUAGACGCGAGGGUGGCGAACGCCGGUGGCGGUAACGACGGCGGUGUCGGUGGCGGCGUCAGUGCACGGAAGUGGCUGUGCUCCGGUAGUGGACGGUGGAUAGUGUAGUGCGGUUGGUCGGUUGGAUCGGUUAGUCGGUCGGUCGAUGGGUCAGUAGAUCGGUCGCGGGGGGUUGAUUUGCCGUUCGUCUCGCGUCGCCGUCGCGUCUCAUUUGGAAUCGAGUUGAGCCACGUCGGGCAUCGUCCACGAGGCGCGAGCGGCGAGACGACGACGACGACGGAACCGGAAAAGGGAGAGAAGGAGAGAGAGGAAGAAAGAAGCGAGAGAAUGAAAUCGAUAAGAAGGGACCUUAGGCGCUGGUUUCGCAAAACGGGAACGCCGGUGCGCGACGCAUAGAAAGAGAGAAGACGAGACAGAGGACAAUAUAUAUAUAUACAUAUAUAUUCUCCUGUGAAAGAGUGUGAGUGUGCGGUGCGCCGACGACGAACGCACGCGACGUACGGAAACGACAUACGCGCGUGUAGUACGCACGCAGGCGCGGUGCCUCGUACACGAGGGUGGAACGAGAUCCGCGAGAAAGGGAACGUAAUCGGCUCGGUUCGUCGACUUGCUUCGCUCGCGAAAGGGCGGUUCUUGGAUUCGGAGCGCCGUGACCGGAGGCCGAGGGAGAGAGCGAGAGAGACCGGAAGAGGGUACAAGAGAGGAUACGCGAGAGAGGGCUCGUUCGUUCGUUCGUUUGCAUUGCGUCGGCUCAGGAAAACAGGUAGACGGAGGAAGAGGGAAUCGACUGCCUCUCUUUCUCUCUCUCUCCCCCUCGAUCUCUAUUCGCCCUCGCUCGAUGGGCUACGCCAUCGAAAGAAGGUCAAAGAUCGAUCCUCGGGUCGACGAGGGUCGUGACCUCGUCGUACGCCGCCGCCGAGUACGAAGUGAUCCACGCGCGUAGUAGUACUAUUCGCUAGUAGUAGUACGCCGGUCAGAAACGCGGAAGUUGUGUACUCGUUGAGGAGAGGAGGUGAAAAAGAGGUGGUGGCGGUGGCGUGGGUGGAGAGAAGAUCGAUCGGGCGGAGGAAUCAUCGUCGCGACGCGAAGAUGAGGUCGAUCGACCAGCAAAGAAGAGACCGUACUCACGGCCUUCGUUGACAUCGGCGAUACGUGCGGCCGAUUUUCGACGAGAAAAAAAGACGUGUCUCGCGACGUGAAUAAAGACGAGGACUGAGGACCGAUCACGUCCACCUCGUCAAUGCUCGUCGUUCGCGAACGCACUAUCGCAUGUAGAAUAGAAACAUCCUCGCGUGUCACCCCGGGACACAUCAUUGUCGUAUCCACGUCUUGGCGUCGAAGAUCACGAAGAAGACGCCGAGGAACCAAAAACGCAUCGACGUCGUCAUCGGCCAUAACCGGAUGCUGCAGCACAAAGCUGGAAACGAAGCGAAGAUCGAGUCUUCCGAAAGGAGGCGAUCGUCGAAAUUGGAGCCGCACGUUUUCAUUCUCCGAUUAUUACCCUAACUGCAUCCUCGGAUAGACAGACGUCCCAUGGAACUGGGCUCAUUGACCAGAUCACUCAUUGCGGGCUGAUAUGAAUGUGAAAACGCGCGAGAAAGACGAGGGAAAUGAACGCAAAGCGUGACGAAGAGAGCACGAGAUAUUAGGGGGUCCAUUAAUAAUCGGAUUCUCUCGGGGAAAUUGCCGAGGAAGAAAAAAAAAAGAGACGGAUAAGGUAUAAUUUAAUCGCACAAAGCGAUCGCGGAUAACGGAAGGAAAGAUCGAGACGAAGGAAAAAAAGAAAGAAAGAAAGAAGUGGCCAUACGAGACACUGACGAGACGACACUGACUCGGGACGAUCUUGCGGUGACAGCAACGAGAAAGAGAAGGAGAACGGGUUCGCGCAUUACGGGUUUCUCGUAUAAUGUCACGGGACCCAUAUUCGAGCAGUGGCGUGGUAGGUCCCGGUGGUGGCACACGCUCACCACGCAGCGGUCGUCGUGUAGGCGAACUGCCGACCGUCGACCGUAGUCCAUCGCGUAGUUAUGCGAGCGGUCGUGGUAGUCCUCUUGGGGGUCGCAAGCAACGGGGUACACGCAGCGGCAACAACUCGCCUGAGCAUCUCGGCUUUGGCAGCUACCAUCACCAUCAGCUGGGCAGCCCGUACUACUCCCGCGACGAGGACCUCGGCAGUCCCGUGAUGCUCGAGGAGAGGGGUAGGAGUAUGUCGACCGGGGGCGGUGGGGGCGGACAUCACCGAUCCAGAAGCGCCUCGAGACCCGCCAUGUCCAGCUCGGCGGGCAUGGUAGCGCGUUACACCAGCCUCGACCGUGCUUCCGCCGGUGUACUCGAUCAUGAUCGCGAAUUCGUGCCGAUACGCGAGCCGAGCCGCGAGCGUAGUCGCGAUCGCGGCUUGUACCUCGAGGAUGAGCUCUACGGCUCCAGGUCGGCCCGCCAGAGCCCGAAUCCGCACAUGCUACGUGACAGCGGCGGUUACAUCGGCGAGCUUCAACAUCAGAAUAACGAUCUGCAACGGGAGCUUGGCAACCUGAAGAAGGAACUCGAGCUGACGAACCAGAAACUUGGCAGCUCGAUGCACAGCAUCAAGACGUUUUGGAGCCCGGAAUUGAAGAAGGAACGAGCGCUGCGCAAAGAGGAGAGCACCAAGUACAGUCUCAUCAACGAGCAACUCAAGCUGCUUAAUUCGGAAAAUCAGAAACAAAGCAUGAUGGUCCGUCAACUGGAAGAGGAGCUCAGAAUGAGAAUGCGCGGGCCGAACGUUGAGAUACAGCAGCAAAUGGAAGUUUUGUACAAUGAGAACGAGCAUCUGACUCGCGAAAUCGCCAUACUUCGUGAUACAAUAAAGGAAUUGGAAUUAAGAAUAGAAACGCAAAAACAAACGCUGCAAGCUCGCGAUGAGAGUAUCAAGAAGCUCCUCGAGAUGCUCCAGAACAAGGGGAUGGGAAAAGAGGAGGAAAGGAUCAUGUUCCAGCAAAUGCAGUCGAUGGCCCAGAAGCAGGUCGAGUACUCGCGGAUGAGACAACUGCAUUUUGCAUUCCAAACGCAAAAAUCCCAACAUGCAAGUCGAGUAUUGCUGGACGAGCUCCGGACGGAGGUACAGCGACGGGACCAAGAACUGCUGGCGAUGUCGGCCAAGAUGAAAACGCUGGAGGAGCAACAUCAAGAUUACCAGAGGCACAUCGCCGUGCUCAAGGAGUCUCUCUGCGCCAAGGAGGAACAUUAUAAUAUGCUGCAGGCCGAUGUCGAGGAGAUGCGACAGCGGCUCGAGGAGAAAAACCGGAUGAUUGAGAAGAAGACGCAGGCGGCGAUGCAGGCGCAACAGGAGCGCAAUCGCAUGAACACCGAGUUGACCGAGAUCAAGGAUCACAUGGACAUCAAGGAUCGCAAGAUCAACGUUCUGCAGCGCAAGAUCGAGAAUCUGGAGGACCUGCUGAAGGAGAAAGAUAAUCAGGUCGACAUGGCCAGGGCCAGGCUGACAGCGAUGCAGGCGCAUCAUUGCAGUAGCGAGGGUGCACUUAGCAGCCUCGAGGAGGCGAUCGGAGAUAAAGAGAAGCAAAUGGCACAAUUACGCGAGCAAAGAGACCGAGCCGAGCAGGAGAAGCAGGAAGAAAGGGAAUUGCAUGAAAGAGAGUUGGCCGAGUAUAAAAUGAAGAUACAUACUUUGGAGUCUGAGGUCGAGAAAUUGGGCGCGCGAUUAGAACGAGCACAGGCGGAAAAGGAUCGGCUGGAGGCGAAACUUGAAAGCUCGCAAUCCGAGCUAGGCAAGAGCAAGGCCGAGCUGGACAAGGCCGCGUCCGAGGUCGGACGCAGUGGCGCGGACUGGGAAGCUGCGAAGCAGCGGUUAGCCAGGCUGGAGCUCGAGAACGAGAGGCUGCGGCACGAUAUGGAACGAUCGCAGGGAUACGGCAGGGGCACGCUGAAUUCGUCCCAGGAAAUGGAACGCAUUCAAGAACGGGCCGACAAAGCGGCCGCCGAAUUAAGGAGAGCUCAGGCGGAGCUGAGGGUAACGCAAGCGGACAACGAGAGAGCGCGUGCCGAGGCCGCGACCUUGCAAGAGAAGGUGGAGAAAAGUCAGGGCGAGGUGUACAGGCUCAAAGCCAGGCUGGAGAACGCUCAAGGGGAACAAGAGAGUCUACGGGAAGAAUACGAUCGAGCACAAGCGUCCGUGGCUCGUCUUCACGCCGAAAGAGAUAAGGCGAUCGCUGAGCUCGAAAAAUCACAAGAGGAGCUCGAACGUACGCAGGCUACUCUAGGCAAGGCACAACUUCAGCAGGACAAGUUACAGAAUCUUUUGGAUAAGACGCAGAGCGAGGUUGAUACGCUGCAGGAAAAACUCGAUAAGACGCAAACGGAAAUUCGUAGAAUGCAAAUGGAGAGAGAGAAACAGAAUUACGACUUCGAGAAUCUACAGAGUCAACUUGACAAGGCGUUAGGACAGUCGACGAGAAUGCAAAAAGAGCGAGAGGCAAUUCAACUCGAGGUCGAUCGACUACAAGACAAAUACGAGAAGGCUCAAGUCAUAAUGCAACGACUGCAGAAGGAGAGGGACAGCUUCCAAGAGGAAAUGGAGAAGAUGCACGAGAGGAUAGAACUGCAGCAGAAUCAGAUUGGCAAGAUGCAACGUGAAAAGGAAAACAUACUGUCGGAACUCGAUCUGGUCAAGGAGAGAUGGGAGAAGGCGCACAACACUCAUCAAAAAUUGACGUUGGAGCGAGAUGACGCUUUGACUGAAAUCCAGAUCUUGAAGGAGAAACUGGAGAAGGCUCAAUACUCUCUGAAUAAAGCUCACGAGGAACGGGAGAACACCACAAAGGAAUUCGAGAAGAUGCUGGAGAAAUAUGAUAGGGGGCAGAGCGAGGUGUACCGUCUGCAGAACCGCAUCGACGUGAUGGAGGCGGACAAGGACCGGCUGGAGCUGGAGGCGGAGAAGCAGCAGAUGCUGGCGGCCAAAUCGCGCGAGGAGGCGCGCAAGGCUCAGGAGGAACUGGCCCGGGUGCAGGAGAUGUACGACCGCGCGGCUCUGCAGCUCGGCCGUACCAAGGAGCACGAGGAGAAGUCGAAGGAGACCAUCGAUCGGCUCAGCGUCGAUCUGGAGAUGGUGCGCGAGCGUUACGAGAAGUCGCAGAUCGAGCUACGGCGCUUGCAGAACGAGCGUGAAAAGGUGGUGGCUGACAACGAGCGUCUCAGCUUCGAGCUGGAGCGCGCUCAUUCGCAGCUCAACAAGGCGCAGGCGGCCACGGAGAAGACGCAGGAGGAGCUCGCGCGUAUGCAGCUAGAGAUCGAGAAGAUGUACGAGAAGCACGAUCGUCAGCAGGCCGAGGUGAGAAAGGCGCAGGCCGAGGCGGAACGGCUGCGCGCCGAAGCGGAGAGCGCUCGCGAGGAAUGCGAGAGAUACGCGACCCGUUUCGGCAAGUACCAGGAGAGCCAGGAGCGGCAGAAGGAAGAGCACGAGUGGGCGAAGCUGGAGGUGGAACGACUACGUGACCGUCUGGAGAAGGCGCUGGCGGAACUCGAGCGCGCACGGAAAGCUGAACAGGACGCCUCGAGGCUGCGCGCCGAUCUGGAGCGUGCGGAGGGCGUACGAGGUAAAUACCAGUACGAGCAGGAAAAAUGGCAAAGCGAAGGUAAUAGGCUACAGCAGGAGGUGAAUAAGCUGCGCGAGCGGCUAGAAAGCCGCGAGGCCGAGCUAAAGAGGACACAGUCGAGCAAUGCCGAGCUCGAGACGAAGCUGCACGAGACGCAGCUUCAACUCGAGCGGGCGCGCGACGAAACUGGCAAGGCUUCGGCGCAGCAGGAGCGUAAUCGAUCGGAGAUUGAGCGCGCGAGGAUCGAGGCUGAGAAGAUUCGUGAUCGGCACGAUAAGAUAAAGUCGCGGGCGGAGGCUCUCGAAGCAGACAACGAGAAGCUGCGCGUUGAGAUUAUACGGCUGGAGCGACUGAUGCAGACCGAAGGUAAGACGAGAUCGGAGAGCGCUAGCAUUGAGGUAGAACGCCUGCGCGCCAGCCUGGACAAGGCUAUCGUGGCACGCGAUCAAGUCGAGCUAGAGGCUGGUAGACUAGCCAAGGAACUUGAAAAGGCGCAUCUACAGACCACCAAGUAUCAGGAAGCUGCCGAAGCUACCAAGAAAGAGCUCGAACGUCUUGCCGCGGACGUUCAGCUGCUGCGAGAGGAACGCGAGGCGUUACGCCAAGAGCUGCGUCGCGUGCAACAACAGCAGCAGCAGCAACAACAGCAACAGCAGCUUGCCGGAAACGAAGAGCUCGCCCGACUUCAGUACGAACUACAAUUGGCGCAGCGCGAGCGCGACAAGAUGGCAGCGAUCCUGGAGAACCGGGAGAAGCAUUCGGAAAAGUUGAAGGAGAAGCUAGAAGCGGACGCGAAGCAGCUGCAGGUUGAGCGCGAUCAGUUGGUGAUACAACUAGAAAAGUCGCAGGAGAUGUUGGUGAACUUCCAGCAGGAAUUGAGCGCGAACGAGGCCGAGCUCGAGCGUCAGCGCGAGGAAGCCCGUCGUCUUCAGCAGCGGGCCCAAGCGCAGACGCCCGAUCGCGCUGCCAAGGAGGCGCUCGAUGCACAGAUGCGCGAGGUACAACGACUGCAGCAACAAGUGCAGAACCUUCAACAGGCGCAGCAGAAGGAACGACAACGUGCCGAGCAGGCGGAGAAGCGAGUACAGGAGCUGCAGAAGCAGUUGACGUCGCGCGGCGAGACGACGCAGUCCGACGUGGCCCAGCUUGAACAGUGGCGGAAACUCUGCGAGACUGAACGACAGCGAGCGGACACGGCUGAGCGCGAGGCCAGCGAGCUGCAGAAGCGGAUACAGACGACGGAGCGACAGCUGCACGCGCAUCAGCAGCAGAUCCAACAGAUGCAGGUCACCAUGCAACAACAGCAGCAGCAGCUCCAACAGCAGCAGCAGCAGCAGCAGCCUUCGCAACAGAACGGCCAGGAGAUUGCCAGGCUGAAGAAGGAGCUGGAUCGCGCGCGCGAGGAGAUUAAGCAGGCGACAGUGGAACGCGAGCGGUUCCAGGCGCAGCUCGAGAUGCUGUGUCAGGAACUGGAGAAGAAUCAGGUGGACUUGCACGAGGCGAACAAGAAACUCCAAGCUGGCGCCGCGAAAGCUGGCGCCGAUACAGUCCAAGAGAGGAAACAGCUGGAGGAACAAAGACGACAAUUGGAAGAGCAGAGAAGACAGACAGAGGAACGGGCGAAGUCCAUAGAUCAGAAAGCUAGAACGAUAGAGGAAAAGGAGAGGAUGCUCCAAAAUCUCGACCAGGAUCUGAAGAAGAGAAAGGCGAGAAUGGACCAACUGGAGCAGCAACUACAGAAGAGUGGUGGAGCGCCAGACAAGAGAUUAGCGGAAAUGCAAAAGGCUCUCGAAGCUGCCGAGAGGGAAUUGGAAAAAGCGAAGGAAGAAUCGAGCAGAAGCUCUGCCGAAACCGAAAGGCUACUGCAGCUCGUGCAGAUGACUCAGGAGGAACAAAACUCCAAGGAGAAACAGAUCAGAGAACUUCAAGAUGCACUCAAAACCGCACAAGCCAAGUUGAAACAAGCUACAACUGCACAGCAAGAGUCCCAGAGUAACAAGGAUGAGUCCUACACUUGGCAAGAAGCACUAGAGACGAAGAAUCAUACCAUAUCCAAACUAGAAAAGAAAAUAAAGAGCCUCCAGCAGGAUUACGACAGGUGUAAGGAUUUGUUGAAUGACUCAAGCGAUAAUGAAUCCUGGAAAAAAGAGGUAGAGGAGAAGAAUCAACGUAUUGUCCAGCUGGAACAGCAAUUGGAACGCUGCGAAAACCUAAAGGACGACAAAACGAGCAAAAACGUCGAGACGCAGACGGAAACGUACAAGAAUUUUUGUAAUCCGGAUACGAAGAAUCGACGAAUCAUUGCGCUGAAGCGGCAGGUGAUAGCCUUGAGUAAUUCUUUGAAAAAUCACGCGAGGAAAACGACAGAAUCUUUUGAGAAGGAUAACGAUAGUAAGAUGAACGAGAAAACCGAAGAGACCUGGAAGCAGGAAAUAGAGAUGAAGAAUCGACGCAUCGUCGAACUGGAACAGGAAAUGACAUUGCUGGAAAAUCUACUGCGGGAGAACGUGGACGUACAGAUAUUGCGUGAUCUCGAAAAAAUAAUGGACGGAAAAUCCAGAUUGAUCGAGGAGUUAGAGGAUGCCGUAAAGGAGCUCGAGGGCUUUCUCAAGGAGGACGUAAAAGAAAUGCGCGAUCUGCGUUAUCAAAUAUCGCUCGAUAAAGAGCAUAUCGUGGCGCUGGAAAGAUGUAUCCACAAAUACAGUCUCACAAAUGCGGGGAUCGACAAAACAAGGAUCAUAGAGCUAGAAGAGAUGGUUACGAGCUUGGAGAAUUAUGUUAGAGAGCAUGACAUCGAUGGUUUUAAGCGGAAGCUGCAGGAUCGGGAGUGCAGGAUCGAUCAGUUAGAAAACCAGAUCAUUGACCUGAAUAAGAAGCUGUCAAGAUUCGAGGAAAAUCAAUCAAACGGAAGUACAUCGAAAAAAAACAACAAUAAAAUGGCCUGGGAGCUGGAAGAAGAACAAAAAAUGAAAGAUAUAACGCAUAUUAUUUUUAAAGAAAAUAAAAAAAUCCAAGAAUGCGAGUUGCAGAUUGUCGAGCAGCAAGAUAAGAACCUAAAAAUAGAGCUGCGAGAGAAAGAGCAAAAGAUGAAAGAAAUGGAAUACGACAUUUCAGAGAAGGAUAACAAAAUACAGAAAUACGAGCAGCAGAUCGUCGAACAACAGAACAAGCUUCUGAAAAUGGAGAAAGAAAUGGCUGAGUUGGAAAAGGAGUUGUACAUGAUAGAAGACAUCGAUGCAUUAAAGGAGGCGAUUAGGAUGAAAAACGAGAGGGUACAAGAGCUGGAGAUGGAGGUCAAUUCUCUGGAGACUUCGCUUGGCGAAAGGAUCGACGUCGCAAUCGAAGAGCUGAUUGCGGUUCUAAAAGAAAAGGAGAAGAUAGAAGUUCGAUUGAAGGAAGAUCUCGCGAACAAAGAGCGCAAAAUAGAAGAAUUGGAUACGGCUCUUCGUCAGAGUAUUACAAUUACGGACGAGACGGAGAGAAAAUUCAAAUACGAAAAGAAGCUUAGGAAGGAGGCAGAUCAAAGAAUCGCCGAUUUGGAGAAGAAGAUCGCAGUUAUGCAUGCUGCCUCAGCCGUGAAAUGCAUCACGUGUAAACCGCUUCUUUACAAAAUAUUUAAAACCGAAGAGAAACUUCUCCAAUCGAACCAGGAAAAGACCGAUCAGCUGCAAGAGCUGCAUCAGACAAAGUGCGUUUUUCAAGUUAAUUCAGGUCAACAGUCUGAUCUCGACAGAGAUCGCGAAGCUUUAAAACUUGCCCUUUCCGAAAAAGACGCUCAUUUAGCUCUGCUGGAACAUUCAGGUAUUAAAACUCUGACGCAAGCGGAUCAGGCAAAUAAACUAAAAGCUGAUAAGAAGAUACUACUCGAUAAACUAAGAGAGGAGGAUGAAAAAAGUAUCAAUUCGGAUUUGAAAUUAGAAACAGUACCGCAAUUAAUUGAGAAAAUUUCCGAUGACAACGAUAACAAUAAUAAUAAUUCCUUUGAUCGUCUCAGCAAGAUCAAUUUAUCCAGCCCAACUACUAUGAAUGGCGACAGCUCGUCGAUAUCAGCUACUGCGAGUUGCGAGCAUUCAACAAAGACAUCGAUGGUUUUCAAUAUAAGAGACGAAGAAGAUAACUCGCAAGUUCAUCAACAGGAUGCCAGAUAAGUACUCGAGGUUUUUUCUACGGUAUUUCCAAGUAUCAGUUUCUUCGUUACCUCAAUGUUGUCAUACGCACACACAUUCGCAAACGUAGAGACAGUCUAUAGAGCAUCCUUAGAAAUAUAGUGGAAAAGAAACCGAAACGAACAACAACUAUACACCAACAAAACUACAAUAUACCAUCUAUGAUAACAACUACAGCAACAACCAACACGCCUGCCUGUACUGUCGCUCAUUACUCAUCAUCAUCAUCAUCAUCUUCUUUGUCAUCAUUCAUCAUUAAUCGAUAUUUCAUCGUCCACGUAGCACAUUGUGCUUGAAGGAAUUAGCAAGAUCAAGAAGCCGGAAGCUUCUUCAAACUGCUGAUAUUUAUCAUGGAUACAUAAAAGGAUUCGCUGGAACAGAUACAGUAUUUACAUACUCAUCGGCAUCAGUUUAUAAAUAAAAUUACAUAUUUCGUUUAAUUAUUUUGAUCCUAACAAAAAUUAUAAGAAAAAGUUAAUAAGAAUUUAUAUCAUUCCUAAUUAGAAAUUAGCUCCAUUUUUACUUCAUAUUCUUUUCAGUUUUAUUUAUUUAUUUUAAUUUUCUAGAGAAUUAAUUAGAAAGUAUAUAAUUAAUUUUAGAAUCAUUCCUAAUUCGAGAUUUUGAAAAAUUAAUAUUUAAAAGAUUAAACAUUUUUUUAAAUAUAUUUUUGAAUACAUUUUCUAAAGUAUUACAUUAAAUUAUUCCAACCGUCAUCAAUCGCAAAAAAAUAAAAAUACACAAAAAGAUACGUCGCUGUAAAUAUUACAGCAAUUUGCAGGAUCGAAAUGUAUUUCGCAAGAAAAGAUUGCAAGGAGCCAAGAGAACGUGGUCGAGGCACGAGACUAAAAAGUCUGUUGUAAAUAAUACUAAUGUUUCUCCUUUCAUGUGUGCGAUGAUUGUCCUGAUCGUCAAGAACUAUUCCUCUUGAAUUCCCAUUUAAAGAUUUAUAUCCGCUCCCAGAAUACACUGCUGUAGCAUAGGUACCUCAUGUACAUGCAUAUCUGAUUGAACGAAAUUUGCUUGUACUUGAGAUUGUUCGAAUAUUCAAAAGUGUACGAUUACUAUAUGCAUAUGUGUGUAUCGUACGAGGAUAACAGAUCGUAAUAAGAUAUCGCAGAAAAAAAUUGAUCGUCUACAUCUCGAUCUUAAAUGAAUAGAUUCUUAAAUAGAUAAUCUGUUAAAAAAAGUGUUAAUAGAAACUUGUGAUGGUGUAAAUUAUUUAAUGAUAAGCGUUGCUCCUUUUACAUUAAAUUUAAAGCAAGAUAUGACAUCAUAGAUCGUAUAUAUAUCUACGACAAAAUGCAUUUAAGAAGUAAUGAUGUGGUAUCGAUCGCUUAUGAAUUUGAUGACAUAACAUGCAGAAUGCGAUAUUUUAUUACAUUUUCUUUUUUCUCUUUAUGCGGGUAAUCAAUUGAUUACCGUCAAAACUUGAUACAUACAAAUGAGAUGUUUUAAAGAACUAGAAAUGUUUGAAGACAAGUUGGCGAGCGAUCUGAAUAGAUACAACAUUUUCGAGUAUUGAAUAAAUAAUUGCUUUUUUGCGGAAACUCGAACGCGAUAUCGCAAAAUAGGAACGAUUAAAAACGGAGUAAAAUUCCGUUGAAUGACACGUUCCAUGAUCGUUCGAUUUCGCUAAUAUCGUCGCGUCUGCCAUUGCGGUGAGUUAAUUACGAAAUGUUGAAAGUGUAAAAUUUUAUCGUUAAUACUUGAGGAUACCUCUUGUGUGAAUUCCGCGAAUAUACGACAGCACUUCUCUCGUUGCUAGUUUACCCAUUUCCUGUUCAUUAGUUUAAUUCCUCUGUGCAUCUCGACGAAAUGUCUACGAACCACUAGAUCCAAAAAAAAGACUUAUUAACUCGACUUUAAUAUAUAUUUAAACGUUAGGGCAUCUAUAAGCUGGAAUCAAAGUGCGUGUUGUGCACGACAUAGAUAUUUAUUGAAGCAAAGUGUCGCGAGCUAUAAAAUGUACUUAAAAAAUCGUAUAAAAAUGUAUUAUUAUUCUUUUAUUUUAUCAAUAUUUCUUGAAUGAAUAACUAUAUAUAAAAAUAUUUAUUAAUUUUUCAUCAUUUUUACGCAAUUAAAUAUUUCAUUCAUAAAAUAUAAUGCUUAAUUUUUCUAAAAAAAUUUAAUUUAAAAUAAAUAUUUAUAUAUUUAUUAUAUACUUGGCGAUACUUGGCUGCAAUUUAUGUCCAAGGGAUGGCAUACGUCGCCGCGAUUGAAAUAACUUCCUCUCUUACUUCUGACCUCUAAUCUCAAAUAGAUACACGUACAGAUGAAAUAAUCUCUAUAUCACUAGAGCAAUGAGGAAAGUAAAGUAAGAACCUCGUGAAAGAAAUAUAUUUAUGUUAAAUUUGUGAAUAUUCUACAAAAGAAUCAAAUAUACAGACAAUCUAAUAAUUGACAUAUUAAUAAUUGUUUGGACCAUCUAAAUAUUAUUUAUCUGAAAUUUUUUAUAUUUUUAUAAAAAUGUUAGAAAUAGUAAAAUUUUAUUAGCGACAUGCAAGAUAUUAUUAAACAGUUAAUUUUUACAAAAAAUAGCGCUAUUUAAUUAUUGCCACCUCAAACUGUUUACAUUUUGUAAUUUUUUAAUUGAAUUGCGAUUAUUGCUGAGAAGAGAACGUAAUAUGAUUGUUAAAUAUCUUCUUUGUAUCAAGUGAAUCGAGAGAUCGAAGGUGAGGUGGAGAGGAAGAAAGAUGGGAGAAAAAUAAAAAGAAACAAUUAGUUAAUGUGUGCCACCGUCAUAUCAAGCCUAUAUCAUCGUGUUACAUCAUAUAUAGCUAACUAAGCAGAAAAAUUAAUAUUAUCGUUAAUUGACACAAUUGUUAACACGGAGUGAAUGUUUGAUGCAUGAAUGUGUUACGCGCACCUAAUAAAAAUUUCAAUUUAAAAAAAGAAAUUAAGAAUUCUUUCUUAAAACGUGAAAUUUUUUUAUUCUUGGAAAUUGCAAUAAUUCAAAUAUUUAUAUUUUAUUUUUAUGAUAGUGUAUAUCGGAUAUUUCUCAAAUUUUCAAGUUUUAUUUAAUUUUGAUUAAUGUUGCGUGUGAAUAUUGAAUUUAAGGUAUUCAUUCUUUAAUAUAGAUGUAGACAUUAAUAUAAACAUAAUAAUCUAAAUUUUGCGAUUUUUAUUUGCAAAAAAUCAUGAUAAAUGCGUGGAUAUAUGCACGAACGAAAGAAUGACAGACACAGACAAAGUAUCGGAUCGAAUUUCUUGUUGACUUAUUAGAUUCUAUACUAACGUAAUAUAAUAUAAUAGUAAUGUAUUAUCCGAUCACAUACACACUCCACGAGUUUUUUUCGAUGUCAUAGAAUCAAUGUCGUCCGCAUCCGAAGGAUGAAAAUGGCUCGGGUGAGAGAACGAACGAGAGGGAGGAUGCGAUUGAUUUUUGCAACAGAUCGCGCCUAAAAUCGUUAGAAGCGUAAUAAUCGAUAGUAUUAUAAGCACCCAUUAAACUUUAGGCCGAUUUUACUUUUACAAUCGUCGUCACUUGAUCCUCUCGUCCACAAUCUAGAAACAUCGCACUGUCAUUUCCGUCAACGAAUUAUAUCCUUAAAUAAAAUGUGAAUUGUUCGGACAAACAUCAUUAAUUACUUACUUUCUUUAAAUGCUCUCUCAUUUCUAAAAUCGUUUUUCAAAAUCACUCGAAAAUACUAGAACCGCAUAAAUUAUGAUAAAUCUUUCGCUGUGUAAAUCAUCCAUCGGCUAUUAUCCAAGUCCUCCUCCCGUCGAAUCUCACCGUUUGGCACUCAAAGUAAUCCUAAAGCGAGACUGCAGAGUGAGACGAGAGUGAGAGGUUGAGUGAAAGAAAAGCGGUCCUGAAAUUAUUUUUUUCUCGUGAUUAUGUAUCGUGUCCGCGAUAAGAAAAUACCAAAAAAAGCACGAUUUUUAUGUGAAUAUUGUAAAGAAAACCGUACCGACGUAAUCGCAAUCCUUAUUGGAUGCUGUUUCAAGAUAAAAAAAAAAUAAGACUCUAAACACAUCAUGCUUUAAUAGAAAUCGAGAUUUUGUGAGAUAAAUCAAAAGAUAAUUAUCAAAUAUUAAAAUAUUUAAUUUUUUUUUAAAUCGACUAUAACAAAUAUCGAAGCUUUUUAUCUUUAUUAUCACUUUUCUCCAUUAUGCUGAUAAUCGGUGAAUUAAAAAAAAAAUUUCCUCACUGAGAAGAAUGGAUCAGCAUCUAAUGCAUCUAAUAAGAUUCGAUAUCGGUACGACCAAACCACUCCUUUUCUAUUCUCCAAUUUCUACGUGUUUAAUCGCUAAGUAAACAAUUGAUAACAAAUUUAACGGAGAAGAAACGCACGAGGGAGAACGCUUUGAUUAAAUUAUUGUGUAAUGUUUAUCGUUAAUAAUCUCGGAAAAAAGUCGACGCAAUACAACUUUUGAUCGCGUGUAUAUAUCUAAGAUGAUAAUAAUAUGCGACAACGCGGAAGUAUAAUGUCGCGAAAGUGUGUAAUAAAAGUGUGCAUUGAGCAGAGAGUGAAAGAGAGGGAGAGAACGUGGGAAAAAAAGCAAGAAUACGAAUGAGAUAGAUUCUGUUUUGUCUAGAGCGAGAAUCCUUGCGACGCCAAUUAAUUAACCGUCGCGUAUAUGGAGCGAGUGUUGCGCUUAAUCCGCCGAAAAUCGCCGAAAAUCGCUCCAAGAAAUUGUUCUCACGUUCAUUUUUUAUGAUUUUAUCUCGCGCUUCGGUGAUUUUCGGUCACGGGCAAUAGAGUUCAUGAUUAUAAACGAGAGAGAGAGAGAGAGAAAGAUAUUGGCAAAUUAUGGUGAAGAGUGCGACGAACCUAAAAAUAAGAUUUAUCGAAGUAAGUUAUAAGAAAUAAGCUAAUUAAAGUAACAGUUUAUUAAAGUACAUUGUUGCAACUGCCAUGCUGUGUGCCAUUAUAUAACGAGUCACGUUUGUCGUAAAAAGUAAAAAGAAACAAAAAAAAAGAAGAUUAAUGAAGCGAAAUAAUUGUGUGCGCAUUUUCGUCUGAAAUUUUUUAGUUAUACCGCUUCAAAAUCGCUGGAUUUACACCGUUGUCCUCGCCUUAAAUUCCUCUUGAUAUAAUGCAACAUUUAUCAUAUAAUUUAUCGAAAUGACAAUUUUAGUAAAUAAUAAAUCCAGAAAAAAAAGUGAUAGAGUUUAUAUAUGUUAUAUAUAUUAGUAAAACGUAACGAAGAAAAAUGUACCUUUUUUAAAUACAUACUAUAUAUAUAUAUAAAACAUAGAUAAUUUACGGAUAAAAUUCAUCACACUCACUGGAAAGUCGAAGGACAACGGAGUAAAUUUCUGGCAGUAGAUAUCGCGAACGAAUUCGCUCGAGCUCGCGAUAUUCAUUGUGCAUUUGCUUGCGCGGAUCGACGUGCACAUUAAAUAGCGUGAUACAACCGAGGCGCAUUGUAAUUAAUAAAUAUCGUAAUUAAUGUACGUCAAUAAUGCGCAAGCACGUGCACGAUGCGCUUCGUAUUUUUGCGUUCUUCUUCACGGUCUAUGAAUGAAAGAAGUCCUAAAAAAAAUGAAAUUCAAGACGGAGUUUGGUGCGACGAUCCGUUUCUACGACGGCGAAACGAUUGUCGAAAAAGACAAGAAUUUUGUUUUAAAAAAUGCAUUCUGCGAAUAUCCUCCUCGGUACUUCGAUUGACGUGGCGAUUACGAUAAAUCGUUGAAUCGCAUAUUUUCUUGUAUAGAUAUAAAUAUAUUAUAUACGUACAUAUAUACAUAUAAUAUCUGUUAACACUAAUAAUUUAUUGCGCGCUAUAGAAAGAGUCGUUUUGUUAUUGCAUAUAGUGUUGUGUAGAAAAUUUAUCGAUGUUGUUAUUAUAAUAGUUGUAUUCUUUUGAUAAUCGAUAGUUUUAUGUAAUUGCCUCGUCUGUCGUUUUUAACAUAAAAUUCGCAGCAGAUACUGAGUAGUGUUAUUAUAUCUUAUGAUGUAAGUAAAUACCGAUGAGAUGCUCCUUUAAUUUUUAUAACUCGUUUCUUUUUUGUCAAAUUAUUUCACGCUUUGACCAAGUUAAAAAUAUAAAAACAUAUUUUGUGUUUGGUACAUUUUUAUGAAUAGUGGCAAUUCGUCACGUAGCAACGGAUCACCGUAACAGCACGAAACGUUCGUGUAACGCGAUGUCUUACAAUAGCGAGUAUAAUCCUCUCGCUCUUAGUUGGCGAUAAAAUGGUUUGAGGCAAAAAAAAAAGAAGGAUUACUAAGUAACUAUGCAAGUAAACCAAAUGAGAUGACGUCGACCCAUUAUAGAUUCAAGCACAAUAAGGACUAGUAGGGCCAGGCACAAUAAAAUUCGGCCGUCACGUUGUAGGCAGCGAUCUGUUAGAGCGGACAAGUGGUAUAUAUAAGUAUCUAUAUAUAGCAAAACUAUUAAAUAAACACAUAUUGUCUAUUGUC